This is a long non-coding RNA of Chrysoperla carnea, 660 nucleotides long. RefSeq lists it as uncharacterized. The transcript has 3 exons. Lineage: Eukaryota; Metazoa; Arthropoda; Insecta; Neuroptera; Chrysopidae. The record is from RefSeq and is a predicted model, not a curated record.
AAAUUCCUAAAAAAUAAAGAAAUUUCUUGGGAAAUAAUAGUUUUUCUAACCAUUUUUGCUCUAAACAAUGUUGGUGGUACAUUGAGGUUAACAGUCUCUCGAGAGGCUGUUUCUCGCUCGCUCUUCUAGGCGCUUUUUCUCGAACUUUCUGUUUCCUGCAUCCAAUUUUUAUUACAUGGACUCUUGUAAUAAUUUUAUUUGCGUCAACGGACACCUAAUCAUACGGAACUUGGUAACUAUUAAGGCCAUGGAAAUUUUAGUCGUAGGCUUCAGUUUUUUUGGAAGAUUAAAGAUGAUUCUUAGCGCUUUACUCAUUUAAAAUCGUUUUGACAAACUCUUUAGGUAUAAGUCAUACUUAAAAAGAAGCCUCCACCAAAUGUGGAAAGGGCCUCCUAAGUCUAAAUCCGGCCCUGAAUUUAUGUUCUUCUUUCGGUAAUUGUUUUAUUUAAUUCAAAUAACUUCUACCCGCGGCAAAUAUUCGCUUUGUUUUUAAUUUAGAAGAACGUAAGAUCCGUUCGAUUUGGGACCUGACGCAAAUAUUUAGGCAUUUUAAUUUUGUUAUUAAAAAAAUUAGAUCGUGACUAUACGAUUUUUGUACAUAAUUUUCAUGGAAAAAAAAAGAUACCAAUUAAAAAAAUUUAAAUUCCAUAUAACUAACCC